UGAGUGAAGAAGGGUUUCGGCUCGUAAAACUCUGUUGUUAAAGAAGAACAUAUCUGAGAGUAACUGUUCAGGUAUUGACGGUAUUUAACCAGAAAGCCACGGCUAACUACGUGCCAGCAGCCGCGGUAAUACGUAGGUGGCAAGCGUUGUCCGGAUUUAUUGGGCGUAAAGCGAGCGCAGGCGGUUUUUUAAGUCUGAUGUGAAAGCCUUCGGCUCAACCGAAGAAGUGCAUCGGAAACUGGGAAACUUGAGUGCAGAAGAGGACAGUGGAACUCCAUGUGUAGCGGUGAAAUGCGUAGAUAUAUGGAAGAACACCAGUGGCGAAGGCGGCUGUCUGGUCUGUAACUGACGCUGAGGCUCGAAAGUAUGGGUAGCAAACAGGAUUAGAUACCCUGGUAGUCCAUACCGUAAACGAUGAAUGCUAAGUGUUGGAGGGUUUCCGCCCUUCAGUGCUGCAGCUAACGCAUUAAGCAUUCCGCCUGGGGAGUACGGCCGCAAGGCUGAAACUCAAAGGAAUUGACGGGGGCCCGCACAAGCGGUGGAGCAUGUGGUUUAAUUCGAAGCUACGCGAAGAACCUUACCAGGUCUUGACAUACU
RNAcentral lists this ribosomal RNA (597 nucleotides) under Lactiplantibacillus plantarum. RNAcentral describes it as "bacterial SSU rRNA". It matches the Rfam family "Bacterial small subunit ribosomal RNA", at positions 402 to 990 of the family's 1533-position model. Lineage: Bacteria; Bacillati; Bacillota; Bacilli; Lactobacillales; Lactobacillaceae. The record is from RNAcentral.